Molecule: long non-coding RNA, 516 nt
Filed under: Cyanistes caeruleus (blue tit)
Lineage: Eukaryota; Metazoa; Chordata; Aves; Passeriformes; Paridae
Description: lncRNA (ENSCCEG00000009055.1)
Source: RNAcentral
GGAGGUGGGAUGAGCUCCAGAAGGGUUUGGCUGCUGUAGGGGGGGCUGUGGUGCUCCCCCAUGAGUGUGGACAUCUGUGGGGCUGCAGCAGGAGCUUGUUGGGGCUGGGCUGCUCACUUUGCCCAGAAGUCUCCAAAAUAAGGAGCUGUGAGGAGUUCAGAGCAGACCUUCCUGCAAGGAAGGAAGUUCCCUCCAUGUUCCCUCUCCUGGUUCCCUCCAUGGAGAGAUGCACCAAACAUAUCAGAACAUACUCUAAAAGUAAAUGCUCUAGAACUAAAACAGAUCCCACUAUGAUGCCUGUAUCCUUAAUCCUGAAGGAUUUUGAGGAGUUCUCUAGGAUGCUGGUUGUGCUGUCUAUUCCUGUUGCCUUCCUUUGCAACAUUCAGUGGAUUUUGUGGUAUCUUUCAGGAGCAGAAAAUCAUUGGAGAUGAUUUCACUAUUUCAGAGCUGUCAUGACUGAAGGUCUGGACUUUGGAGAAGGCUGAUGAACCUAAUAAAACCUCUAUGAAAAAUUCA